UGAAACUGGAAACUACGACAAAGCUAUAGAUUUAUCUCGAAAUUGCUCUGGAAAUUCGAGAACAAUUGUUAGGUCGAAACCAUGUUGAUGUCGCUGCGUCUUU
Molecule: long non-coding RNA, 103 nt
Organism: Xenia sp. Carnegie-2017
Lineage: Eukaryota; Metazoa; Cnidaria; Anthozoa; Malacalcyonacea; Xeniidae
Exons: 2
Source: RefSeq, a predicted model, not a curated record